AUGGUGCUGGUCGUGUUAAAAUUGAUACGAAUGGUGAAGGUCUUGUAGUACAGCCUAACACGAGUGAUACGGAUGCGAGAAUAAACCUUAUCAGCGGUGAAGGUGAUGCCGACGCUUAUAUCGGGUUUCACGCACGCAAUCCUAAUUCGGUUCACGGUAGGUCAGUGUAUAUAGGAGCAAAAGCAAGUGAUACUGCUACAAACAGCGUAGAAACCGAAUUACACUUCAAAGUUCGUGGGAAUAAUCCUUACGAAUGGAAUACGAUGGUGAGUGAUAUGGUUAUAAAGGGUGAUGGCGAUGUUGAGUUUCAGUCUCCAAAGCUGAGGAUACUUGGUGGAAGCUGGAACACUAAGUUUGACCUCACGAACGAGGGAACGAUUUGUAGAAAAUACACCGAUACGAAUAAUGUAGAUCACGGAUCGGGGCUUCACUUCUCGGGGGACUAUAUAUACCCGACUGAUGCGUCUGGAAACCUUAAUAACGAUGUAUUAAGUAUCGGUUUUCCCCAGC
This 510-nucleotide long non-coding RNA is filed under the name Micromonas commoda. Its description in RNAcentral is "long non-coding RNA (MCOM_LNC000091)". Lineage: Eukaryota; Viridiplantae; Chlorophyta; Mamiellophyceae; Mamiellales; Mamiellaceae. The record is from RNAcentral.